AUGACCUUGGUGCAGCCCAUGGUGACGUGGCCUGUCUUUCAACGCCGCAGUUCUGCCACUAGAAGAGAAACUGGCUGGGAUUUUGCCCAGGGAAAGGACAGCUUGGGUCGGAUCACCCUCCUGGCACCUGUCAGCCAUGACCAGCGUGUGUGUGCCUGUGGAAGAGUCCCAGGGUAUCGAGGCAGUCAAACUCACCAAGGGAGAGAGGAAACUUUGAGAAAACAGUUCCACUAUCCACGGAAACCAGCGACGGCCAGAUGGGCCCCUCCACCAAAUUCUAACCCAUGGUUUUUACUUACCUAUGAAAGCUGAUCGUGUCGGAUCAUAAAUUCCUAGUUCACUGAAGUUAAAAAGUGUCUUUCUCAUAAAAAGGCCCAUAAAGGGUAGUGUUUAAGUGGGGCUAAUAAUAGUGGCACCUCAUAGAACUCCCGUGGGGAUUAAAUGACGGAAUUCAGGUACAAACCGUGUGCCGGGCACACAGCAAGCUGGCUGUCAUUAUGCACGCGAGGAGAGCCCUUCUGAAGGUGUUCACCUAAAGUCUCCAUCAUUUCCUGGCAUGCAUGGUGACUCCCUGAGGGCCGCAGAAGCAGGGUGUCUGGUAGGGGCACAGAUCUGCAUGUGUGUACCUGUUUGUGUGGGGUGGGGAGGUGGGUGUCCCAUGCAGGAUGGGAUUUGCUGCCCCUCCCCUAAAUCUUCCAUCCCUAACUGACAUAAAAGUGAAUUUGUUUCCUGAGAAUCUUGUUUCCUCGGAGAAGAUCUGCUGUUCCUGGGAAGUGGUUCAUUUCAUCAAACCCCAAAAUGAUUUCAGCUGUCUCAUGGAAUAGGCGUGUCCCAUCGUCAGCCCUGUGGCCACCUCUCUGGCACUUCCGGGAAACACAGACAGCCUGCUGCGUGGGGCAGCUCCGUCCCAGCCCAGUUCCUUCCAGACCAUCCCGACCUGUGGACCGCAGGCUCCCCGAUCCCUUGCGGUGACCCCCAGUGCCGCUACAAACCCCGCUUGCCCAAGAAGGGCUGUGCAAAGGAGGCAUAUGGUUUUUAUAACUGACAAGACGUGUGGAUUCAUUGCAACGGCCAGAACUGGCAUGCAAGUGAACGCGGCACAAGAGGAGCUUGGCUGUGGCCGUGCCGGCUGCCGGGGGCCACCAGCAGGUCCCCUCGCUUCUCCCGCAUAGCUGCCUCGUCUCUGAAGUGGAAAUGCUGUGGAUCUGGAGCCAUCAAGGAGACCAGGGCCGUGAAUGGCCUUUGCACGUUGACACGCU
This 1259-nucleotide long non-coding RNA is filed under the name Oryctolagus cuniculus (rabbit). Its description in RNAcentral is "lncRNA (ENSOCUG00000039441.1)". The record is from RNAcentral. Lineage: Eukaryota; Metazoa; Chordata; Mammalia; Lagomorpha; Leporidae.